GGGCCCGCACAAGCGGUGGAGCAUGUGGUUUAAUUCGAUGCAACGCGAAAAACCUUACCUACUCUUGACAUACUUGGAAGCUCUUGUAAUGAGAGUGUGCCUUUUGGAACCAAGAUACAGGUGCUGCAUGGCUGUCGUCAGCUCGUGUCGUGAGAUGUUCCGUUAAGUCGGAUAACGAGCGCAACCCUUACCCUUAUUUGCCAGCGAUUCGGUCGGGAACUAUAAGGGGACUGCCGGUGAUAAACCGGAGGAAGGUGAGGACGACGUCAAGUCAUCAUGGCCCUUACGAGUAGGGCUACACACGUGCUACAAUGGGGAAUACAGACGGACGCUAAGCCGCGAGGUGGUGCUAAUCCUAGAAAAUUCUUCGUAGUCCGGAUUGGAGUCUGCAACUCGACUCCAUGAAGUCGGAAUCGCUAGUAAUCG
RNAcentral lists this ribosomal RNA (426 nucleotides) under uncultured bacterium. Its description in RNAcentral is "bacterial SSU rRNA". It matches the Rfam family "Bacterial small subunit ribosomal RNA", at positions 917 to 1344 of the family's 1533-position model. The record is from RNAcentral.